Molecule: transfer RNA, 69 nt
Filed under: Fundulopanchax amieti
Lineage: Eukaryota; Metazoa; Chordata; Actinopteri; Cyprinodontiformes; Nothobranchiidae
Description: tRNA-Met
Rfam family: tRNA
About the family: Transfer RNA (tRNA) molecules are approximately 80 nucleotides in length. Their secondary structure includes four short double-helical elements and three loops (D, anti-codon, and T loops).
Source: RNAcentral
AGUAGAGUCAGCUAAAUAAGCUUUUGGGCCCAUACCCCAAACAUGUUGGUUUAAAUCCUUCCCUUACUA